UGGACCUUUCAGACUUGGGUCUGCACCCAGGUUCUGCUCAUUCCCAAGUAGAUGUGUAACCUGGCUUAUUCUCAGAGGGCACAGACUCCACAGCCAUGCGUGUGUCACGGAUACUGAAGGAUGUGGUUUUCUGGAGGACUGCUCACAUCUAGGGAGUUUACUUCAUAGGAUCACCACUGUCUGUUUUAG
This 189-nucleotide long non-coding RNA is filed under the name Cavia porcellus (domestic guinea pig). RNAcentral describes it as "lncRNA (ENSCPOG00000040540.1)". Lineage: Eukaryota; Metazoa; Chordata; Mammalia; Rodentia; Caviidae. The record is from RNAcentral.